UACGGGGGGGGCAAGCGUUGUUCGGAAUUACUGGGCGUAAAGGGCUCGUAGGCGGCCAACUAAGUCGGACGUGAAAUCCCCAGGCUCAACCUGGGAACUGCGUCCGAUACUGGAUGGCUUGAAUCCGGGAGAGGGAUGCAGAAUUCCAGGUGUAGCGGUGAAAUGCGUAGAGAUCAGGAGGAACACCCGUGGCGAAGGCGGCGCCCUGGUCCGUUUCUGACGCUGAGACGCGAAAGCGCGGGGAGCGAACGGG
This 253-nucleotide ribosomal RNA is filed under the name uncultured bacterium. Its description in RNAcentral is "partial 16S ribosomal RNA". It matches the Rfam family "Bacterial small subunit ribosomal RNA", at positions 524 to 776 of the family's 1533-position model. The record is from RNAcentral.